AAUGCAUAAAAAUCAUGCACUGGAAUGAAGAGAGCAGCUGAAGUUUGUGUAAAUCUGGAAAACCAAUGACAGAAAAAGCCUUUCCCUUUUCUCCAGAGCAGUUCACGACCUGCUCUCACACCUAUCCAUGAUAAAUGUGUUCACUCCUAGAGGAACUGAGUUGCUCAAAGCCACAAUUAGCUUUCUGUGCAGUUCUCACAGUAGAAGCCAGGAUGGUCAUCACCUCAGUUCCCCCACACACAAUGAAAAACUGAAUAAAAAAAUCAGCCCCUACAUGCUGUCUGCAGUUAAAAAUCUGGUUGAUGUGGCAGUAACUUGAAUUUCCUAUGUUGACUAUAUCCACACAUUAAAGCCAUGUUUAAAUGCUUAUUCAUUUUAUUCUGCUUUUCUACUAACACCUGAUCUUCAUAGUGAGAAAUGCAUGACCUACAAGGCAGCAGGUCAGUGGGGAAUAAUGAAGGGCUUAAUUACUUCCCCUAUUUAGCAUCAAACUACCAAUUAGAAGCAGCUUCUGGGAAAGCCUGAAGCCCAAAGGGCAGAAAGGGAAAAAGUUCCUUAGGAGGAUUUGAGUUUGCCAUGGGAGAAAUACAUGAGGAAAGCCUGCUGGUACUGAGAGGUGCCAGUCCUCAUUCAAGGAGCAGAUUGGUGAGAAUCAGAUGAGGAGUGUUCCUUCUCCUCUGAGUGUGGGUGUGCACAGACAUAAAGUGAGACGAAUGCAGUCAGGAACUCUGCCUGAAAACAAAGACAGUUCUAGGGAACAACUUGGGAGCAAGUCUGGCUUCCCAAGCGCAGACUCUAAAACUCCUACCUCUCU
Passer domesticus (house sparrow) is the source of this 814-nucleotide long non-coding RNA. RefSeq lists it as uncharacterized. Lineage: Eukaryota; Metazoa; Chordata; Aves; Passeriformes; Passeridae. The record is from RefSeq and is a predicted model, not a curated record. The transcript is spliced from 3 exons.